GAUGAACGCUGGCGGCGUGCCUAAUACAUGCAAGUCGAGCGAACAGACGAGGAGCUUGCUCCUCUGACGUUAGCGGCGGACGGGUGAGUAACACGUGGAUAACCUACCUAUAAGACUGGGAUAACUUCGGGAAACCGGAGCUAAUACCGGAUAAUAUAUUGAACCGCAUGGUUCAAUAGUGAAAGGCGGUUUUGCUGUCACUUAUAGUUGGAUCCGCGCCGCAUUAGCUAGUUGGUAAGGUAACGGCUUACCAAGGCAACGAUGCGUAGCCGACCUGAGAGGGUGAUCGGCCACACUGGAACUGAGACACGGUCCAGACUCCUACGGGAGGCAGCAGUAGGGAAUCUUCCGCAAUGGGCGAAAGCCUGACGGAGCAACGCCGCGUGAGUGAUGAAGGUCUUCGGAUCGUAAAACUCUGUUAUUAGGGAAGAACAAAUGUGUAAGUAACUAUGCACGUCUUGACGGUACCUAAUCAGAAAGCCACGGCUAACUACGUG
RNAcentral lists this ribosomal RNA (497 nucleotides) under uncultured bacterium. RNAcentral's name for it is "partial 16S ribosomal RNA". It matches the Rfam family "Bacterial small subunit ribosomal RNA", at positions 28 to 507 of the family's 1533-position model. The record is from RNAcentral.